CUGCUCCGAACCUUCCCUGUAGUGGAGUCUGUACUAUAUAUAUAACCUUUGUGUCUGGAUCUCACCAAGCACCAUGGCUUGGAGGUCCCUGCAUGUGGCUGGCCCCGUUCCCUCUAUGUGUUCUCAGUGUGUGCUGUGUGUACUUCACAUACCUUAAAGGAGCAGAGAGCCCCUCCCCACCCUGUGCCAGCACAGGCUGAUCACCCUGACCCCAGGUCUCAGAACAUGUCUCAGAUGGCCCCAGUCCUUUGGCGAGCUGUGGUGACACCAGGCCAGCCCAUGGGCUGGUGCCUCUCCUGCCUAAGUCCCAAAGCAGCCUAUGACAGGACGGGCAAACAGCACAGCUCAGCAGCUGGCCGUGGGGCCUUGGGCAGGGGUCAUCAUCCUCCUGUUCCAAAUACCAGCAGCUGCUCUGUAAGGUCACAUUGGUGUCCCUGCUGUGUUGCCAGUCCCCUCCCCAACCUGCAAAGCUUCCUCCAGCCUGUGAGUGCAGAAGUGAGUCCUGGCAGGAGGACCAGAGUCACUCUCUUGAGUUUUGUAGCCCCCACAGUUGUGUGUUCUUUGUACUGUCAAGUAGGUCAUGGGAUGGACAGCCGACCAGCCAUGGCCAUCUUUGAGCUGCUGGACUACAUAGUGAAUGAGCCACCUCCCAAGCUGCCCAGUGGUGUGUUCAGCUCAGACUUCCAGGAGUUUGUGAAUAAAUGUCUCAUUAAGAACCCAGCAGAGCGUGCAGACCUCAAGCUGCUGACGGUGAGUGAGUGGAGGUGUCUCCUGGGCCAAGGACUGGGGCUGUCUGCCGGACGGGAAAAGUCUGGAUGCUGCCAGUCUCGGCAGUCUGAUGUUAGAAGUGGUGCAGAGGUGAGGGUGUGCUUCGAUGCCCACCUCU
Molecule: long non-coding RNA, 886 nt
Filed under: Rattus norvegicus (Norway rat)
Lineage: Eukaryota; Metazoa; Chordata; Mammalia; Rodentia; Muridae
Description: long non-coding RNA NONRATT026465
Source: RNAcentral